UUUCUAGCUGGUUUGAGGGCUUAUUCAGUAGCAUGUGAAAUAUUUAUUCGGCACAUAACUGGGGAGCAGACGAACAAAUUAACAGAAUCGCUGCCACGUGGACCCUCCAGCUCUUCUCGAGUUCCCCGCGAGGCGACAGGAGUCACGUGGUCGUGCACCGCAAGCGAUAUUAGCAGACAUCCCGAGUCUCCCGGAAAUCAGCGUCUCCUCCGUGACUCCCGAAAGUGAUAUCCAUAAUGUCCCGGAAAUCGCCGCCCGCUGCCAAAUUGUUUCUCAGAUCUGCUAAACAAGCCGCAUCUCUGUAUAACGAAAGUUUGCAAAUGAAGUGAGAUUAUUCAACUGGACUGGUGAGUACAGUAUAUAUUUAUAGUGUAUUGUGUAU
RNAcentral lists this long non-coding RNA (382 nucleotides) under Lepisosteus oculatus (spotted gar). RNAcentral describes it as "lncRNA (ENSLOCG00000021764.1)". Lineage: Eukaryota; Metazoa; Chordata; Actinopteri; Semionotiformes; Lepisosteidae. The record is from RNAcentral.